GAUGAACGCUGGCGGCGUGCCUAAUACAUGCAAGUCGAGCGAACGGACGAGAAGCUUGCUCCUCUGAUGUUAGCGGCGGACGGGUGAGUAACACGUGGAUAACCUACCUAUAAGACUGGGAUAACUUCGGGAAACCGUAGCUAAUACCGGAUAAUAUUUUGAACCGCAUGGUUCAAAAGUGAAAGACGGUCUUGCUGUCACUUAUAGAUGGAUCCGCGCUGCAUUAGCUAGUUGGUAAGGUAACGGCUUACCAAGGCAACGAUGCAUAGCCGACCUGAGAGGGUGAACGGCCACACUGGAACUGAGACACGGUCCAGACUCCGACAGUAGGCAGCAGUAGGGAAUCUUCCGCAAUGGGCGAAAGCCUGACGUAGCAACGCCGCGUGAGUGAUGAAGGACUUCGGAUCGUAAAACUCUGAUAGUAGGGAAGAACAUAUGUGUAAGUAACUGUGCACAUCUUGACGGUACCUAAUCAGAAAGCCACGGCUAACUACGUG
RNAcentral lists this ribosomal RNA (497 nucleotides) under uncultured bacterium. RNAcentral's name for it is "partial 16S ribosomal RNA". It matches the Rfam family "Bacterial small subunit ribosomal RNA", at positions 28 to 507 of the family's 1533-position model. The record is from RNAcentral.